GACGAACGCUGGCGGCGUGCCUAAUACAUGCAAGUAGAACGCUGAAGGAGGAGCUUGCUUCUCUGGAUGAGUUGCGAACGGGUGAGUAACGCGUAGGUAACCUGCCUGGUAGUGGGGGAUAACUAUUGGAAACGAUAGCUAAUACCGCAUAAUAGCAGUUGUUGCAUGAUAACUGUUUGAAAGGUGCAAUUGCACCGCUACCAGAUGGACCUGCGUUGUAUUAGCUAGUUGGUGGGGUAACGGCUCACCAAGGCGACGAUACAUAGCCGACCUGAGAGGGUGAUCGGCCACACUGGGACUGAGACACGGCCCAGACUCCUACGGGAGGCAGCAGUAGGGAAUCUGCGGCAAGGGACGGAAGUCUGACCGAGAAACGCCGCGUGAGUGAAGAAGGGUUUCGGAUCGUAAAGCUCUGUUGUAAGAGAAGAACGAGUGUGAGAGUGGAAAGUUCACACUGUGACGGUAUCUUACCAGAAAGGGACGGCUAACUACGUG
Molecule: ribosomal RNA, 495 nt
Filed under: uncultured bacterium
Lineage: Bacteria
Description: partial 16S ribosomal RNA
Rfam family: Bacterial small subunit ribosomal RNA
Source: RNAcentral